GACGAACGCUGGCGGCGUGCCUAAUACAUGCAAGUUGAGCGCUGAAGGUUGGUACUUGUACCAACUGGAUGAGCAGCGAACGGGUGAGUAACGCGUGGGGAAUCUGCCUUUGAGCGGGGGACAACAUUUGGAAACGAAUGCUAAUACCGCAUAACAACUUUAAACACAAGUUUUAAGUUUGAAAGAUGCAAUUGCAUCACUCAAAGAUGAUCCCGCGUUGUAUUAGCUAGUUGGUGAGGUAAAGGCUCACCAAGGCGAUGAUACAUAGCCGACCUGAGAGGGUGAUCGGCCACAUUGGGACUGAGACACGGCCCAAACUCCUACGGGAGGCAGCAGUAGGGAAUCUUCGGCAAUGGACGAAAGUCUGACCGAGCAACGCCGCGGGAGUGAAGAAGGGUUUCGGAUCGUAAAACUCUGUUGGUAGAGAAGAACGUGGGUGAGAGUGGAAAGCUCAUCAAGUGACGGUAACUACCCAGAAAGGGACGGCUAACUACGUG
Molecule: ribosomal RNA, 497 nt
Filed under: uncultured bacterium
Lineage: Bacteria
Description: partial 16S ribosomal RNA
Rfam family: Bacterial small subunit ribosomal RNA
Source: RNAcentral